UCUUUCUCUUCUGUUUUACCAGGCAUAACUACAAUGCUGCUGAGAUGAAUAAUUUUUUUCAGGGCAUAUGGGGAAGAGGAAGAAAUGAGUGGAUGAUUAGUUGAUUCCAAUUGUCCUGUCUCGGUUUUCAUUGUCAUAUGCAACCCCAGACCUUCCCUGCCCAGGUACAGACAAUGUGUGGGUAGAAAGGAUUUCUUUGCAUGAUUCCGAUGAAAUUGGAAAACUGACCUGAGUAUUUCCAUCGUUAAUUCUUGGCAAUCCUGUUUGUAAAAUAUGAGUCAUUGACUGGCCUUGUUGAGGAUAUCUCUGGCUCAGGAAUUCUUCCUCCUUUGUAUACCUGACUAUAAGAAAACUUAGUCAGGGUAUACUUGAGUGACCUUCAGUGGUACCGAGGCAGUGAGGUCAUCUCUGUCUCAGCUGACUGGCUAUCGCCUGGGUUGUACAAUGCCAAGGGCUACCUAUGCAGAUUCCCAAGUGGAAUUAUAGGAACAAGUCUAUGUCAAUGGUUAACCCAAGUUCUUGGUGUCUGGAGCUUUUCUUCCCUUUAUUAUUAACCAAAGAACAUUCUUACCAUUGCCCAGCUGAGAACAGCCAGCUCAUAGCUUCUCAAUGGGAGAGGAUGCAUAAAGGUAAGUAUCAUAGCAUUUUACUGUUAUGUAGCCAUUUGUCUGAGAUUUUUUUCUUGCCAUCCUCUUUGUUUAGAAAGCAGCAAUGGUCUGUGUUCAGCAAGGCAAAUAUUAAUGCUGAAUUAAAUGCUGGUGAAAAUGGUCUCAUUUCUUAUACAAGUGUUUAAAGUUGGAGUCAGGUUGUAUGGCAUAUUAAUUCAUUUCUUUUGAGGCUUUGGGUAAAAACAGUCUUUGGUGUUGAGAUAGUCUGUUAAUAUACUAUAUGUGUAGAUAAAUAGAUAUAGAUAGGUAGAAGUGGAGAGAGAGAUAGGUAGGUAGGUAGAUAGAUAGGUACGUAGAUAGAUAAAUGAUAGUUAGAUAGAUGAUAGUUAUCUCGGUAAUCUCAUUGUGUUCAUACCAUAUGGAAUAUUGUAUAAUUCAUUUCAAAGCCAGAUUAUUGGAUCCUGUAUUUAGCCAUAUGUAUUUAUUAACAUGCAACUUCAAGCAUUAAAAGUGUGUGUGUACCAUAAAAUCAACAUGAAAAAUAGAUGAAUAUUAUCUUAGAGAAAACUCAAUGUUGAUUCUUCUAGACUUGUCUCAAUGUAAAAUAGAAAUAAAUAUUUCUUCUAGAGCUUUCUUUGCUCCUUUGUUUUCCUGUUUAUUAUUCUCUUAGAAUGCUUUAUAUAAGUAUAAUUUUGAAGGAUUUUAUGUGGCCAUUUGAUUCUAGAUUAUAUUUCAUAAUAUAUUUGACUUUUUUCAUUGACAAAAGAAUCCAGUUGUUCCUUUUUCUUUUUUUAAGAAGUGUGUUUUUAGCCAGCCUGACAAAAACACAUAUUGCUUUAGGAAAAAUUUAAUUUUUAUUUGGUUCCAAUUUUAGAAAUCAGAAGACCUUUUCCAUCCCAUCAGUAAUCGCGUAUUGAAUCCUAGUAUUCUAGAGAAUCUCAUGCCCCAAAUAAUCAAGACCAGGUCCUGCCCCAAAUAUCUGGCCAGAAAAAUCAAAUCUGUUAAGGGCAAGACUAGUAAAGGGCAAGGCAAUGAUCUGGUACCCAGAGAACAUGUCAAAGAAAUCAGCAGAACUUUUGUCCAGAAAGCAAGAAAUUUGAGUCAAAUUUGUGACAGGUUGGUGUGGUCAUGAGUGUGUGGUUGGAAUUCAAAACAUUUUCAGACGCUGACAGAUUGUUUUCACUCUGAAUUCACUCACCAGAUUUUCCAUCCUGAAAAUCUUUCUAACUUUCCCAUUUCAUUAUUGUCUUUUCUUCCCUAUAAUUUGGUCACUAUAUUAGUCAAGGUUCUCUAGAGAUGUAGAGGUUCUCUGCAUGUAUGGAGAAGGAAGGGCAGCAAGGUGUGUCUGUGUGUCUGUUUGUGUGUGUGUGUGUGUGUGUGUGUGUGUGUGUGUGUGUGUGUGUGAGAGAGAGAGAGAGAGAGAGAGAUGGGAAACAGUAUGGUAAGAGGACAAUAUAGAAGAGAGUGUAACCUCUGUGGCAACUUGCAUGAGAGGAAGUUUAUAGUGUCCUUCCUUCUUAGGAUUAUGGUUCCAUGACUCUCCCUGUUUAUCUGUGGCUGAUUCAGGAAACAAAGAGAAUUUAUGAGGACAACCUGAAUACCGAGAAACACUAGACGAAUCUAAUUAUCUAACUAGUGAUGUUUUUAUUCAUUAUAGAGGAUACUUUGGUUAAGCUGGGAGGUGGUUUUCUGAAGAACUACAGCGGUAUCCAGAAUAGGAAUGCAAAAAUUGCUGAUCAGAGCUCUUCAUCCUUCUAUGCUUUACUAUGCUUUACUAUAUAUGUUGCUGUUGACUCAGGCUACCCUUUUGGGAGCCAGUGAUCAGUGUCUUUUCACACCUGGAUGGAGUUCACCUACAAGAACCCUGUUUCUUGGUCUAGCAAGGAUUGAGUGAGAUAGACUAGGGGAGGCAUUGUGAGGCACCAGGCAGGAUACUGGGUUUAAGUCAGAGGUCCUCAUUCUACCAGUGCAUUGAUUAUUCUUGGACAACAAACCAUUCUCUGUGAUUAGCUUCCUCAUCUGUCUGUUGAAUGAUGGCUCUCUUCCACUUUGCAUGAGACACAUAAAAUGACUCCCAGAUCUCAGGCUAACCCAGACCUAGGGAGAGAAUAGAAUUAUGGGGCUGGUACUCCCCAGUUUAGCUCGAUUGGUUCAACCCAACUGUUUCAUGUUUCAUAUCCCACUUAAGAGAUGGACAAAUGGCGAAUGCAGAGUUUCCUAUGUGCAAUGCUUCACUUCAUAGAAGCAGAGUCUUCAUCUGGUGGGUGUGGUAAGAGGACUGCACUUGCCUCCCUCACAGGGACAGUGUGACAUCCAUACAUGUGGAGCUCUAUAUUGGUUCCACUGUGGUCUGCUUCUGUUGCAGUGAGUUCGGGCUCUGUAGAAGUCACUGGCUCUUCACCUUUUCCUCAUAUUAGAAUGGUGGUGCUGAAUGGAUAGCAGCUACAGGAACUAGCUAACUGGAGGAAAGAUCCUUCAUAGAAUGAAGUCCAAUUUUCCAACCCCCCAUCCACUUUUCCCAGAUAACAUUUUUCCUGCUUUCCAAUGACGCAGUCCCUGGAAGCCUAGAAAAAUCAACAGAGGUAUACCAAAGAGAAAGAAUAGUAACAAUAUGUGUUUGUUAAUAACUGAAGGAAUAUAGCAAACAGGCUCUCAAAAGGUCAGACCAAAUCAAUGUUAGGAAAAAUGACUCACCAUCAAACUAUAUUCUAUUGAGUUUUUCUUCUGUUUCUUUAUUAGUUUGUGUUUGACCAAUUUUUUUACCCCAAUCUUCUGCCUCAAUUCUCUUUCCUCCAUGUGAUCUAGUAGGGUGGAUUUUGUAAAUUUCCUAUCGCCAUGUUCUACCGAUAUCAUCAAGUGCCACAAUAAUUGUUUUAAUAUUUUCUUGAAUCAUUUGUCUCUACCUUCCAAGAAUUUUGUUACCCAAGUCAUGAAAACAAUGCUAUUUCUGUGUCUUUCACAAACAAUAUGAGAGGCUGUGAGAAUCAAAGCUUCGUUUACUAAGUUACAGGUGAUAAUUCACAACUUCAUGGUACUCUCACUUCUCUGAGUUAGCAUAAUGUGUAAUCGAAGGAAAGCAGUGUUUCACUGAUGUGGAAAAAUGAAAUAGUUAUUUAUUUUUU
Long non-coding RNA from Perognathus longimembris pacificus (Pacific pocket mouse), 3730 nucleotides. RefSeq lists it as uncharacterized. The transcript is spliced from 2 exons. The record is from RefSeq and is a predicted model, not a curated record. NCBI's taxonomy places the organism in Eukaryota, Metazoa, Chordata, Mammalia, Rodentia, Heteromyidae.